GGUUGUGGCUCAGUGGUAGAGUGCUUGCCUAGCAUGUGUGAGGCAUUGGGUUCAUCCCCAGCACCA
This 66-nucleotide transfer RNA is filed under the name Marmota monax (woodchuck). RNAcentral describes it as "tRNA.Ala". The record is from RNAcentral. Lineage: Eukaryota; Metazoa; Chordata; Mammalia; Rodentia; Sciuridae.